RNAcentral lists this ribosomal RNA (301 nucleotides) under uncultured bacterium. RNAcentral describes it as "partial 16S ribosomal RNA". It matches the Rfam family "Bacterial small subunit ribosomal RNA", at positions 509 to 808 of the family's 1533-position model. The record is from RNAcentral.
CAGUCGCCGCGGGAAUACGUAGGUGGCAAGCGUUGUCCGGAAUUAUUGGGCGUAGAGCGCGCGCAGGCGGAUAGGUCAGUCUGUCUUAAAAGUUCGGGGCUUAACCCCGUGAUGGGAUGGAAACUGCCAAUCUAGAGUAUCGGAGAGGAAAGUGGAAUUCCUAGUGUAGCGGUGAAAUGCGUAGAUAUUAGGAAGAACACCAGUGGCGAAGGCGACUUUCUGGACGAAAACUGACGCUGAGGCGCGAAAGCCAGGGGAGCGAACGGGAUUAGAUACCCCCGUAGUCCCUGUCUCUUAUACC